UCAGAACGAACGCUGGCGGCAGGCCUAACACAUGCAAGUCGAGCGCUCUCUUCGGAGGGAGCGGCGGACGGGUUAGUAACGCGUGGGAACGUGCCCUUCUCUACGGAAUAGCCUCGGGAAACUGGGAGUAAUACCGUAUACGCCCUUUGGGGGAAAGAUUUAUCGGAGAAGGAUCGGCCCGCGUUGGAUUAGGUAGUUGGUGGGGUAAUGGCCUACCAAGCCUACGAUCCAUAGCUGGUUUGAGAGGAUGAUCAGCAACACUGGGACUGAGACACGGCCCAGACUCC
RNAcentral lists this ribosomal RNA (287 nucleotides) under unidentified marine bacterioplankton. Its description in RNAcentral is "partial 16S ribosomal RNA". It matches the Rfam family "Bacterial small subunit ribosomal RNA", at positions 24 to 339 of the family's 1533-position model. RNAcentral also lists the same sequence under 1 other name. The record is from RNAcentral.